RNA transcript from Helianthus annuus (common sunflower), 3920 nucleotides. It is a transcript of the gene named protein PNS1-like, with no coding region annotated. NCBI's taxonomy places the organism in Eukaryota, Viridiplantae, Streptophyta, Magnoliopsida, Asterales, Asteraceae. The record is from RefSeq and is a predicted model, not a curated record. The transcript has 6 exons.
GUGAUGUAAAAGCUUUUAUGAAAAAACAACAGGACCAAAACACAACAAACAUCCCACUCAAAAUAUACAAACAAACAAACAAAUUCUCAACCUCCAACUCCACCGCAGCCGCCACCACCGGAAACCGGUCCGCCGCCGCAGAUGGGUGUUGCAGAACCGGUUGUAGAGAGAGAAACUGAAGAACAUGUUGAUGUUGAUCACCACAAACAACAGGAUGAAAUCAAACAAACCCAUAAAGAUUUAGAAAAAGGUGAAAUGGGUCAUGAUCAUCAACAACAACAUGUGUCAAGAAUGCAAAGAUUAAGUGCCACUAAUCCAUUAAGACUUGUGAUGGAUAGUGCCACUAGAGUACCACCUACACCCACCUUUAACCGUGGCCCCACCACCGCCUCCCACCACCCACCACCACCACAACCACCACCACCCGCCACCACCCACCCCUCCCCACCACCACCCACCGCCAACCCCCGUGCCAUCCCCACCCCUAUCCCCAUCCCCAUCCCCACCCCUCUCAACACCACACCUACCCCUCAAUUUCAGCCAUCUAUGACCACACUCAACUCAAGAAGAUACACCAACAAGAUAUCCCUUUUCUUGUUCACCCUGCAUUUCUUAGUUGCAGUCUGUCUGGUCUUCUUCUUAGUGUUCAAAGGGGUUCAAGGACUAGUACAAGGAGGCAGUGCAAGAAGAAAAGAAAGAAGGGUAAUUCAGUACUUUCUCCCACAAGUUGAAGCAGCAUCACUAUUAAGCAUCACAUUAGCAUUCUCAUGGCAAAAAGCAGUUAGGGUUUGGCCUCAUUUCAUGGUGCAAUUCAUCCUAUGGAGCUCCUUCCUCAUGACAUUGUCAGCAGGCAUCCUCCUAAUCUGCAUCCAACGCCCGAGCACCGAUGGAGUCGGUGUCGUGUUCAUACUCUUCGCUAUCGGUAACGGGUUGUACGCGUGUUGGGUGACCCAAAGAACCAAGUUUUGCAGUAGGGUUUUCUUGAAAGCGCUUGAGCCCGUAUCGAAAUUCCAUGAUAUAAACCGGCCAACGUAUUGGAUGCUUGGGAUUGGGUUCGUUUGGAUGUCGAUUUGGAUACUUGCGGUGAUCGGGGCUUUGAAUUUUUAUUUUCCCCCUUUGGUGAUUAUCUUGUUGGUGUUGAGCUUGCUUUGGACAGCUGAGGUUAUGCGAAAUGUUGCGAAUUUGACGAUUAGUCGGGUGAUCGCUUUGUUUUAUCUUCGUGGAAUGCAAUCGAAUACGCAGUUUUGUUUUCAACGCGCACUGUCGAAGAACCUUGGGAGUGCUUGUUUGGGUUCUUUGUUUGUUCCAACGAUCGAAGCUUUGAGGAUUGUUGCUAGAGGUCUGAAUUUGCUUGAAGGAGAAGAUGAGUUCAUGUUCUCUUGUGCACAUUGUUGUCUUAAAGUUAUGGAAACAAUUUUCAGAUAUGGCAAUGGCUGGGCUUAUGUUCAGAUCGCAGCGUACGGAAAAGGGUUCGUAAAAGCAUCACAAGACACUUGGGAACUCUUUGAGAAACGAGAAAUGGAAUUGAUCGUCGAUUCUGACAUCACUACCGCGAUAUGCUUCCUCACCGGAGUUUGUAGCGGUUCUAUAUGCGUCAUUAUGGUGGCUGCGUGGACUGCCGCCGUGCAUGUAACCUACACCGCCACCAUCUCUCUCCUUGCUUUCAUCGUCGGGUAUCUAAUGACGAGGAUCGCGAUGGCAUUACCUCACGCUUGUGUGAGUUGUUACUAUGUGUGUUACGCUGAGAACCCUGAUAAUAGGUUGUUUGACGACACCAUCCCAAAACGGCUCGAUCUGAUUAAAUCUAACCGAGAUGUGGUGGUCCCAACGCCUCGAGUUCCUCCACGUUUUAGAAGAUAACAUAUGCUUUUUAAGUUUUGAUCUUUUUUAGUCAAUUAACUAUAAAUGGUGUAUUCUUUUAGCAAUUUCUGUUGGAGGAAAAUAAAGAUCAGUUAAGUUUCUGUUAGAGGAAAGAUUAAGGGGGGUGUUGGUACAUAUAGCAGGACCAUAGGGGAAUAUUUGUAUGUUGGAUAAGAUUGAGGGGUUAGUUAGAAAUAUAUUUGAAAAAAUAUUUUUUUUUUAAAUAGAAGAAAACUAUAACAAGCAAUUAUAAAAACAAGAUAAUGGUUAGAGCAUGUUUUGGACACGUCAUGUACGUGUCAUGCCGGAUGGUUCGUACUAUAAUAAAAUAUUUAAUUUAUUAAAAUAUCAAUCAAGAUCGUAUCCACUUUUCUUUUUUUAAUCCACUUGAUUUGGUAGAAUGGUGAGUCAACCAUCAUGGUUAAUAUGGUUAAUAAAUUAAGGGUUAUUGGAUUUUAAUAAGGGAUAAUUACUAAAAUAGCUAUUGAAUGGUUAAUUUUUCAAAAAUGGACAACUGAAACGAGUUUCGCCACGACUUAAAAGAUCUUUCCUCAAUAACCACUUAUCUUUUGACACGUGUCGACCACCUUUAUCUCUCCUCUUUUUUUUUUUUUUCAUAAAUGCAAUUUCUCAAAGACGUUUCUCUCUCCCCUUUUUAUCCUUAUACACUUUCUCUCUCUAGAAACUAUUUUCAAAGAAAAUGAAAACUUUAACACACCCAUCAUUAGAAAACAAAGAAAGAAGAGUCCACACACACAACCCAUCAUCUCUGUCUCCAGCGAUUUCAGAUUUUCCGUCAACGAUGCCGGAGCACACGACAACAAUUGAUUACGUCAUGGAGGCCGCCUCCGGUCCUCAUUUUUCCGGCUUGCAUCUCGACGAUCGAUUCCUUUCUUCUUCAUUUACCGAUUCAAUCAAGAAAACCAACUGUUGUGAAGUAAAGAGACUGAUGAUGAUCAAGAAAACAAAUCAAAGAGACUGAAAAUGAUCAAGAAAACAAAGCAAAGCAAAGAUUUUAUGAAGAGAAACCAACUGUUGUGUAUCACUGGUUAACUGGGUUUGGGGUACAAACAAUAAUUUUUCCAGGAUUUGGUUCAGAGAUUCGGAUAUCAGUUUUGAAGAGGAGAGAGAAGAAGUCUCUUCAAAUAGGAGAGAGAGAGAGAGAGGAGAGAGAAGAAGAGAAGAGAGAUGAUAGGUCUAUCCGAUGUACUCUGCAUUUAUGAAAAAAAUGAGGAGAGAUAAAGGUGUCGCCACAUGUCAAAAGAUGAGUGAUUGUUGAGGAAGAUCUUUUAAGGUGCUGUUUGUUUUUUCUGCUGGAAAACCUCUUCUGCUGCAGGCCACAUCUGCAGGCAUCUGCAGGAGAAGAGGUGGACCAAAUGUCUUCAGUCUGCAAGGAGAAGAGUGUUUGUUUUUUUUUUAUAUAAAACCUCUUCACACACAAACACACACAGAUCUCUCUCUACUCUCUCUCUACCACCGCCAUCUUCACCACCGCCAUCUUCACCACCGCCACCACUUCACCACCGUCAUCAUCACCACCGCCAUCUUCACCACCGCCACCAUCUUCACCACCGCCACCACUUCACCACCGUCAUCUUCACCACCGUCAUCUUCACCACCGUCAUCUUCACCACCGUCAUCAUCACCACCGCCAUCAUCACCACCACUUCACCACCGCCAUCAUCAUCACCGCCAUCGAUUUAGGGUUUCGGAGGUGGAGGUCGAUUUGGGGGUUUUGUUUCUGAUCGAUUUGGGGGGUUUGUUUCGGAGGUGGAGGUCGAUUAGGGUUUGCAGAGGUCGAUUAGGGUUUGCAGAGGUGGAGGUGGUGGUCGAUUAGGGUUUGCAGAGGUCGAUUAGGGUUUGCAGAGGUGGAGGUGGUGGUGGCGGAGCAGGGGUGGUGGUGGUGGCGGAGCAGGGGUGGUGGUGGUGGCGGAGCAGGGGUGGAGGUGGAGGUGGUGCCAAGAAGAGGUAAACCUCUUCUUGGAGAAGCUAAGGUCUCAUCUCUUCCCCAAGAAGAGGUUGGGGAGAGGUAAAAAGCACUUCUCGAAAAAAAAAAAAAA